RNAcentral lists this long non-coding RNA (248 nucleotides) under Lathyrus oleraceus (garden pea). RNAcentral's name for it is "Pisum sativum (pea) long non-coding RNA (PSAT_LNC037147)". The record is from RNAcentral. Lineage: Eukaryota; Viridiplantae; Streptophyta; Magnoliopsida; Fabales; Fabaceae.
ACAGUGUUUGGGGAUUUGAAAUAAUGUCUUUAUAUCAUCAGUGGGAUUAUAUUUGAAAGUAUACCAUUAAAAAUUAUGGGUAUUUCGUUUUCGUCAUUCUCCCUAUAAUCUUUGCUAAAACAAUGGUAUGAUAAAGAAAGUGAAGAGGAUAAAUAUUCUUGUUUGUGCUUUUUGAAAUAAAUGAGAAAAGGUGAGUGAAUACGAAAGGAAUCAUUCAAAACAUGCAUGCUCAUUUCAUUAAUCAAUAC